Long non-coding RNA from Bombus huntii, 954 nucleotides. RefSeq lists it as uncharacterized. The record is from RefSeq and is a predicted model, not a curated record. Lineage: Eukaryota; Metazoa; Arthropoda; Insecta; Hymenoptera; Apidae. The transcript has 3 exons.
AUUUUUUACAACUCUUUUCCUUCUAUUCUUUAAGGAGGAUCUCACUGUGCUACAAAAGCUAAGAAUAUUGUUCACAGCCUCCAUUUUUGCCAUGUGUUUGACACUAGACUAGAUUGCUUGAUGAUAGACUUGACUUCCGCUGACCCAGUGCAACGUUCUCCCCGUUUAAUGGAUUCAUUGUAAGAUUGGCAAAAGAAGACUCGUAUCCCAUAUAAUGUCCUAUGUAGUUUUCCAUUCUUCCUCUUUGUAACGUUUAGGCUUUUGUAUAUGGUUCCCACAAUAGAUCCUUAAAUUUUUAUGUAGACAGGACUUAUAGAAAAGCCUUCAGAUUUCUAUAGGUAGGGUUUGCAAAUAAUCUUCGUCUUCGUUUAAAUUAUUUUGAAGAUUGUUUCAGGAAUUGCUUUAGGACCAAUAAAAAGAGGUGUUCUACUUUUUAAAUGCAGAAUUAAUAUAUUUUUGCAUAAAAGGAUCGUGGAUGGGAAGGGCUUCCAUUUGCAGUAAACCUACACGCGUUGAGACGUAGGCAAUCAGUAUUAUUUCAUAUAUAGAAUUAUUAAUUACAUGAUAAUAAAGUGACAAUAAUACAGUAAUUACAUGACAAUAAUAUAAUCUUGAUUGAUUGACAGCGAUUGUGAUUGUACUAUGCGAAACAUUUAUAGCUGAAAAAUUCAAUUUAUAUUUCUUGAAGUUUAGCUUACAAUAUACAAGACUGUACAUAAGUCCUAUAUAUAAAUAAAUUUUGCAACGAUUUUCGAUUCUCAUCCUGCCCGGCGAACAUUAGGACGUUGAUGAACAAUUCAAUUUGAAAGAUGCAGAACUCCUUUAAAAGUUAAUAAAACAGCGAUUUUAUAUAUCUACAAAACGAUCGAAAGUGGCAGUAUUCGAAUAAGAUCAAGAUAGGAUAGGUCGCAAUAAUUGUAUAACUUCUUAAAAUGACAAUAUAUAAAAGAUGUA